Molecule: long non-coding RNA, 946 nt
Filed under: Ananas comosus (pineapple)
Lineage: Eukaryota; Viridiplantae; Streptophyta; Magnoliopsida; Poales; Bromeliaceae
Description: long non-coding RNA (ACOM_LNC030806)
Source: RNAcentral
CUAAAUAUAAACAAAUCGAACUGAAAUAAUUCAGUUAGAUUAGAAAGGUUUAUUUGGUUUCAAUAAAAAAAUAUAUAUAUUUGGAUAUGUUGGUUUUUUAAUCGGGUUUCGGGUCGCCCAUGAUGGACAAAUCCGACCCGACCCAUUAAGAGGUGGUUUUCUUAGUUGGUUGGGAAACCACCCAGUACGUACAGUUACAAAUAUGCAGAGAAAAAAAGGGAGGGAAGAAGUGUGAAAGAAGUUUCUCAUUUUUCUGAUUCUUCUUCUUCUAAUGACAUUACUCUUAUGAUUCUUCUUCUUCUUCUAAUGACAUUACUCUCCCCAUUACUGAGAUUCCUAAAAAGUUUAUUCUCUACUUGGAGGAUUUGACAUUUGGGUUGUGGAAACUAGUACAAUUUUCAUCUUGUGAUCUUGCAUUUGAUCCGUUGGAGCGAGUGGUUUGGUUUGAUCCCGUCUUCACGAUCUUCGAAUCGGAAUUGAGGUAUUUCAUAGAAUAAAUUUUUUUUUUUUGAGAGAUAAGUAGCACGCUACCUGCUUCGUUUAUUUCAUUUAGAAAUAAACUUAGCUAGAAAUGUGAAUCUACUAGGAUUCGAACUUGGGUCUCGGGUAACAACCAUCAAGCCCUUUGCCACUUGCUCUAAGGACGGUCGGUUCAUAGAAUAAAUUUUACUUUCAGGAUGAAAGCAUAUAAACAAUAAAAAGCAAAAUAUAAGUAUGAAUUUUAAUCUUAAAAUUUUUUUUUUUGAGAGAUAGGUAGCACGCUACCCGCUUCGUUUAUUUCAUUUAGAAAUAAACUUAGCAAGAAAUGUGAAUCAACUAGGAUUCGAACUUGGGUCUCGGGUACCAACCACCAAGCCCUUUACCACUUGCUCUAGGGACGGUCGGUAACUUACUAAUUAUUUGAUCAUUAUUUAGGGCUACUAUUAUAUUUUUUGAAAAUGUUAAU